Molecule: long non-coding RNA, 1204 nt
Organism: Haliotis rufescens (red abalone)
Lineage: Eukaryota; Metazoa; Mollusca; Gastropoda; Lepetellida; Haliotidae
Exons: 6
Source: RefSeq, a predicted model, not a curated record
ACCAAAUUAGAGUUAUCUCCCAUACUGAUGCCCGGAUGAUACAGUCGGGUGCGAUUUGUUUGAGAGAAAGUUUGCUGCCAACAAGCGGUGUGUUUUGAAAGAAAAUCUAAAACAUCAACAUGGGAAAAGUGAAAGUGCACGUCGUUUACUGUGGCGGAUGAGGUUACGCCCCCAAGUUCCGAAAGCUGGAGACAGAAUUGACGGACGAAUUUGGGGGCGAUAUUGAAGUGACUUCAGAGGCCACUCCAAACACCAGUGGCAAGUUUGAAGUCACGGUGAAUGGCAAGCUUGUGCAUUCAAAAGCAAAUGGUGAUCAAUUCGUUAACAAUAAAGACAAGUUAACAAAGAUCAUUAAUGCCAUCAAUGCAGCUCUCUAGAAGCUGUUUUUGAAGUUGACAAGGGGCCAGUGAGAAGUUGGCUGAUCUUGGAUGGUUUCACUUCAAGCGUCAUGAGAAUGAAGAUGCCAGAUAAAACUUGGUCUGGUGUUGGAUGGUACAGUGAUGGCUCGACCUGAUGCUAUUCUACAUCUCUAAUUUCUCCUGGAUCUCCUUGACGGUGUAGCCCAGCAUGACACUUAAAGUUUGCGGACCUUGGCUUUGAGUCUGCUUAGGUCAUUCUGAGCAAAUCUUAGAACAUAUAUACCUUUCUGUGUGAAUGCUUUAGAUAAUAUGGUGUAAUGGAUCACCUCUAUCUCCUGUUCCCUGCCUGAAAGUACCUAUAACAGUUUUUAUGAUAAAGUGUUGUUUUUGGUCAUUCUGUUUGUGUGUGUGGAUUAUCAGAUUCGAAGUUAUUUUCAUCUCAUAUCCAAAGUCUUUAUGUCCAUUGUGUUAUAUGUUUUUUAACAAUUGUCAAUUUUUUAUGCAAACAUACCUGUAUGGAUUACAGGGUGAGAAAUAACACUUGUGUAUAUUUCUGAAUACUCACAACUAUUUUGAUUUAACUGCUGGUGUGUGUCUCAGGAUGUGCAUGGAGUUAUUUCUCUAUUUUAAUAGUUUAAUAUAACAAUUCAUUUGCUAUGUGAAUUAGAGUACCACAAGAUCUAAAUUAUUGAGAAUUGUUAGAAAAUUUGUUUUUGUUAGAUAAUUUGAGAUAAAUUGAAUUUAUAUGAUGAAAUUGACUGAGAUCUUCAAGUACAACAUCUGUGAUACAGAGACAACUAACAUCUCAGGCACUCAUUGAUAAUAAAGAGUACUUAUAUCCCUUA